UGAGACAGAGAUCCACUUCAUCCUUCCAACAGGCAAGCAAGUCCAGUGGAAUUGUACCCUUCCAGUGUCCUACUGCAAAGCAGACCUUGAUGAAUCUUCGGAUGCUGCAGACUAUCUUCCAGACUCAUGUGGCAAUUCCUCGGAUGCUUCUAUUAUAAGUACUACAAGUUCUUGUAGUAAGGAAUAUAAAACCACAGAAAAGAAUCUCCACCACAAAUUGUCAGAGAACAAACCAUUAGGGAAUGUUACAGCACACAGUGGGGAUAGUACCACCAGUUCAGAGAAGCCAAGAACAUUAAGUUAUUCAAAGAUGCGCAGCAAUCCUUGUACUUCAGUAAUAAGCUGCAGUGCCAAUUCAUCAGAGAACACAUCACACCAGAAAAGCUCCAUAAAUGUCACACCUUUGUCAAUAACAGCAAAAGGAAGCAAGUACAACAAGAAGCAAUUUUGUCUUUAUUGUAAAAAGGCCAUUUAUAAAUUGGCAAGACACCUCGAAUCCAUCCACAGUGAAAAGCCUGAUGUUGCAAUGGCUUUCAGUUUUAAUAAAGGAUCCCGCAAAAGAAGAGAGUUGUUACGCUCUCUUAAGAAGAGAUGAAACUUUGACUAUAAUACUGAAGUGGCAAGCUGUGGCACUGGAGAGAUGGUUGCCUGUAAAAGACCUAGUAAUGCAAAACCAUCUGAUGACUACCGUGACUGCAAAUUUUGCGAAGGACUGUAUGCAAGAAAUUCCCUAUGGAGACAUGUGAGAAACUGCCCGAAGAAGUCUGUUGAGGGAGAGCCUCAAGUUGGGCGAAAACGGAUUCAACUGCACUUACCAAGACCUGACUCAGUUAAGGAAACUGUUUGGAAGAUUGCUUGUGAAAUGAACCAGGAUGACGUUUCCUCGGUUGUAAGGAGUGAAACUGAAUUCCUUUGUAUCGGCGAGUCACUGUUGAAUUCCAGGAAACCAUAUGAGAGAAGGAAUGACUACAUACGCCAAAAAAUUAGAGCGAUGGCAAGACUAUUGAUAACGGCAAGGGCUAUAACACCUUUGAAGAGCACCGAA
Coregonus clupeaformis (lake whitefish) is the source of this 1045-nucleotide long non-coding RNA. RefSeq lists it as uncharacterized. The record is from RefSeq and is a predicted model, not a curated record. Lineage: Eukaryota; Metazoa; Chordata; Actinopteri; Salmoniformes; Salmonidae. The transcript is spliced from 3 exons.